This 486-nucleotide ribosomal RNA is filed under the name uncultured bacterium. Its description in RNAcentral is "partial 16S ribosomal RNA". It matches the Rfam family "Bacterial small subunit ribosomal RNA", at positions 30 to 507 of the family's 1533-position model. The record is from RNAcentral.
AUUGAACGCUGACGGCAUGCCUUACACAUGCAAGUCGAACGGCAGCACGGGUGCUUGCACCUGGUGGCGAGUGGCGAACGGGUGAGUAAUACAUCGGAACAUGUCCUGUAGUGGGGGAUAGCCCGGCGAAAGCCGGAUUAAUACCGCAUACGAUCUACGGAUGAAAGCGGGGGACUUUCGGGCCUCGCGCUAUAGGGUUGGCCGAUGGCUGAUUAGCUAGUUGGUGGGGUAAAGGCCUACCAAGGCGACGAUCAGUAGCUGGUCUGAGAGGACGACCAGCCACACUGGGACUGAGACACGGCCCAGACUCCUACGGGAGGCAGCAGUGGGGAAUUUUGGACAAUGGGCGAAAGCCUGAUCCAGCAAUGCCGCGUGUGUGAAGAAGGCCUUCGGGUUGUAAAGCACUUUUGUCCGGAAAGAAAUCCUUGGCCCUAAUACGGUCGGGGGAUGACGUUACCGGAAGAAUAAGCACCGGCUAACUACGUG